This 433-nucleotide ribosomal RNA is filed under the name uncultured bacterium. RNAcentral's name for it is "partial 16S ribosomal RNA". It matches the Rfam family "Bacterial small subunit ribosomal RNA", at positions 29 to 507 of the family's 1533-position model. The record is from RNAcentral.
AGCGAACGCUGGCGGCAGGCCUAACACAUGCAAGUCGAACGAACUCUUCGGAGUUAGUGGCGGACGGGUGAGUAACACGUGGGAACGUGCCUUUUGGUUCGGAAUAACUCAGGGAAACUUGUGCUAAUACCGAAUGUGCCCUUCGGGGGAAAGAUUUAUCGCCAUUAGAGCGGCCCGCGUCUGAUUAGCUAGUUGGUGAGGUAACGGCUCACCAGGGCGACGAUCAGUAGCUGGUCUGAGAGGAUGACCAGCCACACUGGGACUGAGACACGGCCCAGACUCCUACGGGAGGCAGCAGUGGGGAAUCUUGCGCAAUGGGCGAAAGCCUGACGCAGCCAUGCCGCGUGAAUGAUGAAGGCCUUAGGAUUGUAAAAUUCUUUCACCGGGGACGAUAAUGACGGUACCCGGAGAAGAAGCCCCGGCUAACUUCGUG